This 84-nucleotide microRNA precursor is filed under the name Pongo abelii (Sumatran orangutan). RNAcentral describes it as "mir-548 microRNA precursor family". It matches the Rfam family "mir-548 microRNA precursor family". Lineage: Eukaryota; Metazoa; Chordata; Mammalia; Primates; Hominidae. The record is from Rfam by way of RNAcentral.
UAUUAGGUUGGCACAAAAGUAAUCACAUUUUUUGUCAUUAUAAGUAAUGGCAAAAACUGUGAUUACUUUUGCGCCAACCUAAUA